RNAcentral lists this long non-coding RNA (793 nucleotides) under Astyanax mexicanus (Mexican tetra). Its description in RNAcentral is "lncRNA (ENSAMXG00005000581.1)". Lineage: Eukaryota; Metazoa; Chordata; Actinopteri; Characiformes; Acestrorhamphidae. The record is from RNAcentral.
CGCGCUCAGAACCGCGGCGCUGCUGAACGCACCUCACACCCGCUUUAUUUACAAAGCCAGGCUUUAAUUCGGGUUUAAUUCGGGUUUAGUCCGAUUCUGAGUCAUGGCUGUGUGUUUAGUACCGGAUUUUCCUGCGGUUCGGAUCGCUCUGGAGCAUCUAGCAGAGUCCGAUAAGCAGCUGAGGGAAGGUGUGAUAUUCAGCGAGGAGGAAAGUCAUCACCUGAGAGAAAUAGCAGACGCUAUUAAAGCUCUGGAGACGUCCAGAAAAGCAGUGUUCGAUGAACUGGAGGUCGAAACCAUUGAAAUGAGCAAACUUCGCCAUCAGGUCCUGAGUCAGGGAGAUGAUGUGGUGAAUGAAGUAUUGGCCGGGGUGGCGGCCGCCCGGGACGUGAACGCGGCUCAGCUGAAUCAGCUCCAGACGGAGAUGAAAAGUGUGGUGGAGGAAAUAGAGCUGAUGGAGAGGAGGAGGAAGGUGCUGCAGGGGGAAAAUGCCAGGCUCCUGCCAGAUCGAGAACCUAUGAAGAGCAGUCAUGCGAUCAUCAUUGAGCAGCUGAACCAGCAGCUCUCAGAGAAGUCCAGUACACAGAUCUCUCUGAACCAGCUGAAGAUCCACAUCCAGAACACAGAGCAGAAGAUCACUCAGGUGCAGAAAACCAAAACUCACCUGAUCCAAAACCUACUGCAGGAGAGGAGGAGCUUCUCAGAGAGGAAGGAGAUGCUGCAGAAAGAGGUAACCAGCCAGCAUCAGUCCUUACACACCUGCUGUUACAAUACUCAGACCAGACCAAAAGCA